RNAcentral lists this ribosomal RNA (253 nucleotides) under uncultured bacterium. RNAcentral's name for it is "partial 16S ribosomal RNA". It matches the Rfam family "Bacterial small subunit ribosomal RNA", at positions 524 to 776 of the family's 1533-position model. The record is from RNAcentral.
GACGGAGGCCCCGAGCGUUGUUCGGAAUCACUGGGCUUAAAGCGCGUGUAGGCGGGACGAUAAGUACCUUGUGAAAUCCCCGGCUUCAACCCGGGAACUGCUCGGUAUACUGUCGUUCUUGAGGCAAGUAGGGGUUACUGGAACCUUAGGUGGAGCGGUGAAAUGCGUAGAUAUCUAAGGGAACGCCAGGGGCGAAAGCGGGUAACUGGGCUUGUCCUGACGCUGAGACGCGAAAGCGUAGGGAGCAAACGGG